GACGUAGGGGGCCAGCGUUGUUCGGAAUUACUGGGUGUAAAGGGUUCGUAGGCGGUGCGGCAAGUUGGGAGUGAAAUCUCUGGGCUUAACCCAGAGGCUGCUUCCAAAACUGCUGUGCUUGAGUGUGGGAGAGGCGCGUGGAAUUGCAGGUGUAGCGGUGAAAUGCGUAGAUAUCCGCAGGAACACCCGUGGCGAAAGCGGCGCGCUGGACCACUACUGACGCUGAGGAACGAAAGCUAGGGGAGCAAACAGG
RNAcentral lists this ribosomal RNA (253 nucleotides) under uncultured bacterium. RNAcentral's name for it is "partial 16S ribosomal RNA". It matches the Rfam family "Bacterial small subunit ribosomal RNA", at positions 524 to 776 of the family's 1533-position model. The record is from RNAcentral.